This is a long non-coding RNA of Ictalurus furcatus (blue catfish), 753 nucleotides long. RefSeq lists it as uncharacterized. The record is from RefSeq and is a predicted model, not a curated record. Lineage: Eukaryota; Metazoa; Chordata; Actinopteri; Siluriformes; Ictaluridae. The transcript has 2 exons.
GUUUUUGCUUACUUGGAACUUUUGAUGUAGUUAUAUCUUAAUAACUCGUAGUUAUAGUCACUAAAUGCAUUAAUCAUAAGAAGGCGAAACACCCUGUAACUCCAACACAUUGCUUUGGAUCAUAUCAGAUCAGACUGUUUCUAGUUUUUGCUGCAGGACACUGUAGGAUGAAGUGUUCACCAGCCUCCGCAACGUGUCUGCCAUAUUACACGGUGUCUACCUCGCCUUUAAUCUUGUUAAAGACUUCAGGAUGUCCCAGAGCAAAGCACUGCACUUCUUAAGCCGGUGCAAGUCUGCACGACAGCUGCCCUCCUGCCUUUGUACACACACACACACAUACACACACACACAAUCCUGCACUUGCCGUUGGACAGGAUGCUAUGGACACUCUUUAGUUGUAGCAACAGUGUUAGUUGUCCCACCCCCAGGCUCUGAGUGCUCAAAGUUGUCCACUUCCUGUGAGGGACUUCAGGCUUGUGAUGUUGUAAAGAAGACUCUGUUAUUGUAGGGCAGGUGUUAGAUGUCGGAGUUUGUUUACAUGUGGUGGUUUGUUGUUUAGUCUAGUUCCCCUGCUAAACUGCAAAAAUAACCCCUGUGUAUAUAUCUCUUUCAACUCCAUAAAUGUUACAGUUAACCUAGAAGGUUUGUAAUGCAUUAUUUAGUUGUAGUAGGAUAGGUAUUUUGGGACAGUUUUGGAAUUUCCACUUUGUCUAAGCUUUCUUGCCAAUAAAUAAUAAAACAAAAUCCCCAACA